Molecule: non-coding RNA, 198 nt
Organism: Vicia faba (fava bean)
Lineage: Eukaryota; Viridiplantae; Streptophyta; Magnoliopsida; Fabales; Fabaceae
Source: the annotation of a GenBank genome assembly
AUGCAGUUGUCAGCGACGGGGAUGGCGAUUAGGGUUUCAGAGAUCAAAACCCCAAUCGAUACUCUGUUCUUCUUCUGUAUUACUGUUCUUCUUCUCUUCUGGAUAUCGGUCUCCCCAGCUUCCCGGUUUUCCCCUUGUUCUUGGUCGUUCUUCUUCUUGUUCUCUUUUUUGUACUGUCAUUUCCCCCAUUCACUGUAA